UACGGAGGGUGCAAGCGUUAUCCGGAUUCACUGGGUUUAAAGGGUGCGUAGGAAGGCAGGUAAGUCAGUGGUGAAAUCCCCGAGCUUAACUUGGGAACUGCCGUUGAUACUAUCUGUCUUGAAUACCGUGGAGGUGAGCGGAAUAUGUCAUGUAGCGGUGAAAUGCUUAGAUAUGACAUAGAACACCAAUUGCGAAGGCAGCUCGCUACACGAAUAUUGACUCUGAGGCACGAAAGCGUGGGGAUCAAACAGG
This 253-nucleotide ribosomal RNA is filed under the name uncultured bacterium. RNAcentral describes it as "partial 16S ribosomal RNA". It matches the Rfam family "Bacterial small subunit ribosomal RNA", at positions 524 to 776 of the family's 1533-position model. The record is from RNAcentral.